Molecule: long non-coding RNA, 2882 nt
Organism: Diorhabda sublineata
Lineage: Eukaryota; Metazoa; Arthropoda; Insecta; Coleoptera; Chrysomelidae
Exons: 2
Source: RefSeq, a predicted model, not a curated record
AUUUGGAGUAGUGCUUGGAACAAAUUAUCAUAUUUGGUAUAAUACACUUGUGCUGUAGCUAAGCUAAAAUGGAAAGUAGCCAACCGGUGCUCCACUACAUCAAAACCAUCCUCAACCAUUUGGAGCUCAGCUUAGAGCUUCAAACAUCAAGGCUUUCCAUAGAUAAGUCCCAGUUCUUAUCUUCAAUACAGAUGAAUUAUCAUGAUUUAUAAGUUAUCUUUUCUUGAAAACGCAGUUGAUGAGAAUUUUGGUACUUCUUAAUAAAUCUUACAUUUGCUGGAACCUUUUUUAUUGUUCACAUCCAGCAUUAAAUAUUAAUAUGGACAAUAGUAUUGGUAGAUAAUUAAUGGAUUCAGUUUUUAUGAAUUCAAUUCAUGUACAAAGUGGAGUUUUUUUUUAUAUAUCUCAAAUUUAUUGAAGUAGGUCGCAACAAUUUUGAAUCCAACUAAAACGGGAACAUUUCUAUGACAACAUCAACAAUUCCGAGAAACUUCGCUCAUAAUCGAAUAAAUACAAGCAACCGAUUUUCUUGGGGAUCUCUUAUUUGAACCUUCUUAAGUCACCUACUCAAAAGAAAAAUUUCAGCUUAUGGAUACUCUGUCUAACUGAAAUAAGAAGGUACAAAGAUUAGCUAGUUUUGAUUGAUUCCCGAGCUUGAGUAAUUAUUGUCCAAUUGUCCAAUCCCUGAUAUUACAAAAGAGGGUUAACCACAGAAAAGAGUUUAUUUCCGAAAUCAAAAGACUCCGGAGAAAGAUUUUCUGGCGUCGAGGAUGCAAAAAGUGGACAGUCUCGCAAACACACUAUGUGCUAUAACAAUAGCUUGUGCUAUGAACGAUCAGAACUCAGGGGUAAACGGAGGCGACGUAACCUUUUCGUGGCGCCGUAUAUUUUCACUAGGAAGAAAUCAAUACAAACCAGGUAAGGAUAGCUUGAGUUAGUUUGGGUUAGAUUGGGUUGAGAAGAGAAGAAAAUGAACAUGUAAAAUGCUUCAUUAUUUAUUUUACAGUAUUAAAUUAUUAUUGAUUGAUAACAUAAUUCUAGUAGAUUCUAUGAUAAUGUACUAAAGGAGGACGCUCAUCGUCAUCGUCUCUACGGUGACGGUCAUCGUCUUCAUCAUCAUCGUCUCUACGGUGACGAUCAUCGUCAUUAUCAUCAUCGUCUCUACGGUGACGGUCAUCAUCAUCGUCAUCAUCUCUACGGUCAGUUAGUCCACGGCGACGCUCAUCGUUAUCAGCACCGUCCCAAUGGUAUUGGUCAUCGUCACCAUCAUCAUCAUCAUCUCUACGGUGACGGUCAUCGUCAUCAUCAUCGUCCCAACGGUGUCGGUCAUCGUCUUCAUCAUCAUCGUCUCUACGGUGACGGUCAUCGUCAUCAUCAUCAUCUCUACGGUCAGUUAGUACACGGUGGCGGUCAUCGUCAUCAUCAUCAUCGUCUCUACGGUGACGGUCAUCGUCAUCCUCAUCGUCGUCUCUACGGUGACGGUCAUCGUCCUCAUCAUCAUCAUCUCUACGGUGACGGUCAUCGUCAUCAUCGUCAUCAUCUCUACGGUCGGUUAGUCCACGGUGACGGUCAUCGUCAUCAUCAUCGUCUCUACGGUGACGGUCAUCGUCAUCAUCAUCUCUACGGUCAGUUAGGUUACGAUCAUCUCCUCUAUCGUGGCGACGGUCAUCAUCAUCGUCUCUACCGUGACGGUCAUCGUCGUCAUCAUCUCUACGGUCAGUUAGUGCACGGUGACGGUCAUCGUCUUCAUCAUCGUCCCAACGGUGUCGGUCAUCGUCUUCAUCAUCAUCGUCUCUACGGUGACGGUCAUCGUCAUCAUCAUCAUCUCUACGGUCAGUUAGUACACGGUGGCGGUCAUCGUCAUCAUCAUCAUCGUCUCUACGGUGACGGUCAUCGUCAUCAUCAUCAUCGUCCCUACGGUGACGGUCAUCAUCAUCAUCAUCGUCUCCACGGUGGCGAUCAUCGUCAUCAUCAUCUCUACGGUCAUUUAGUCCACGGUGACGGUCAUCAUCAUCAUCAUCAUCAUCAUCAUCGUCUCUACGGUGACGGUCAUCGUCAUCAUCAUCAUCGUCUCUACGGUGACGGUCAUCGUCAUCAUCAUCAUCGUCUCUACGGUGACGGUCAUCGUCGUCAUCAUCUCUACGGUCAGUUAGGUUACGAUCAUCUCCUCUAUCGUGGCGACGGUCAUCAUCAUCGUCUCUACCGUGACGGUCAUCGUCGUCAUCAUCUCUACGGUCAGUUAGUACACGGUGGCGGUCAUCAUCAUCAUCAUCAUCUCUACGGUGACGGUCAUCGUCAUCAUCAUCAUCGUCUCUACGGUGGCGAUCGUCAUCAUCAUCGUCUCUACCAUGGCGGUCAUCAUCGUCGUCAUCAUCUCUACGGUCAGUUAGUCCACGGUGAAGGUCAUCGUCAUCAUCAUCGUCCCAACGGUCUCGGUCAUCGUCUUCAUCAUCAUCGUCUCUACGGUGACGAUCAUCGUCAUUAUCAUCAUCGUCUCUACGGUGACGGUCAUCAUCAUCGUCAUCAUCUCUACGGUCAGUUAGUCCACGGCGACGCUCAUUGUUAUCAGGACCAUCCCAAUGGUAUUGGUCAUCGUCACCAUCAUCAUCGUCUCUACGGUGUCUAUCGUCAUCAUCAUCAUCAUCAUCUCUACGGUCAGUUAGUACCCGGUGGCGGUCAUCGUCAUCAUCAUCAUCGUCUCUACGGUGACGGUCAUCGUCAUCAUCAUCUCUACCGUGGCGAUCGUCAUCAUCAUCGUCUCUACCGUGACGGUCAUCGUCGUCGUCAUCUCUACGGUCACUUAAUGUGUGGUGACGAUCGUCAUCACCAUCAUCGUCCCUACCAUGGCGAUCGUCAUCGUCAUCCCAAUGAUCUCUGUUCAA